Molecule: ribosomal RNA, 718 nt
Filed under: gamma proteobacterium PM69
Lineage: Bacteria; Pseudomonadati; Pseudomonadota; Gammaproteobacteria
Description: bacterial SSU rRNA
Rfam family: Bacterial small subunit ribosomal RNA
Source: RNAcentral
AACCUUCGGGGAACGAUAACGGCGUCGAGCGGCGGACGGGUGAGUAAUGCCUAGGAAAUUGCCUUGAUGUGGGGGAUAACCAUUGGAAACGAUGGCUAAUACCGCAUGAUGCCUACGGGCCAAAGAGGGGGACCUUCGGGCCUCUCGCGUCAAGAUAUGCCUAGGUGGGAUUAGCUAGUUGGUGAGGUAAUGGCUCACCGGCGACGAUCCCUAGCUGGUCUGAGAGGAUGAUCAGCCACACUGGAACUGAGACACGGUCCAGACUCCUACGGGAGGCAGCAGUGGGGAAUAUUGCACAAUGGGCGCAAGCCUGAUGCAGCCAUGCCGCGUGUAUGAAGAAGGCCUUCGGGUUGUAAAGUACUUUCAGCAGUGAGGAAGGGGGUGUCGUUAAUAGCGGCAUUUCUUGACGUUAGCUGCAGAAGAAGCACCGGCUAACUCCGUGCCAGCAGCCGCGGUAAUACGGAGGGUGCGAGCGUUAAUCGGAAUUACUGGGCGUAAAGCGCAUGCAGGUGGUUUGUUAAGUCAGAUGUGAAAGCCCGGGGCUCAACCUCGGAACUGCAUUUGAAACUGGCAAACUAGAGUACUGUAGAGGGGGGUAGAAUUUCAGGUGUAGCGGUGAAAUGCGUAGAGAUCUGAAGGAAUACCAGUGGCGAAGGCGGCCCCCUGGACAGAUACUGACACUCAGAUGCGAAAGCGUGGGGAGCAAACAGGAUUAGAU